This 574-nucleotide long non-coding RNA is filed under the name Pan troglodytes (chimpanzee). Its description in RNAcentral is "lincRNA". Lineage: Eukaryota; Metazoa; Chordata; Mammalia; Primates; Hominidae. The record is from RNAcentral.
UUUUUCUCUCUCCUCAUUUAAACAGGAUAGCCGCUGAGCAAGCCUGUAAGGCUAUUGGUCUGCCCAUUCUGGUUUCUUCACCAAUGAGAAAACUGGGACCUGGGGAGUUUGCAGAAGCCAUCCAAGGGCACCUGCUUCUCACAGCACAGCAGCUUCCUGCAGCCCUCCCUCCUGUCUUGUUUCUCCCUUGGUUGAGAGGGGAGGCCAGAACCAGAUGCAGGCAGUUCCAACAGUAAUGAAUUGCUCUAAGGUGUGGAGCCAAGAACCGGUGACAAGGUCAGGAAAUUCCAUCCCAGGACACUGACCCAACUAAGAGACUGUGCAUGAUGGCUAAGUUCAGAGCUCUGAGGAGAUGGUAAAACUCAUUUGCAAUGAAACAAGAUAUUUCCCAACUCUGCAGCCAGCUCCUCUUCCCCUCAGGCUGUGAGUGGAUGCAGCCUGAGGCCUCCCCAGAAGCAGAUCCUGGCGCCAUGCUUUCUGUACAGCCUGCAAAACUGUGCAGAAAGCUGGAAGUGAUGCUCCAGGGAGUUUAUGUCUCCCCAUCUUGACCCACACCAAUACCUGAGGCUCAUUG